Molecule: ribosomal RNA, 243 nt
Filed under: uncultured bacterium
Lineage: Bacteria
Description: partial 16S ribosomal RNA
Rfam family: Bacterial small subunit ribosomal RNA
Source: RNAcentral
AUCCUACGGGAGGCAGCAGUGGGGAAUAUUGCACAAUGGGGGAAACCCUGAUGCAGCGACGCCGCGUGAGUGAAGAAGUAUCUCGGUACGUAAAGCUCUAUCAGCAGGGAAGAAGAUGACGGUACCUGACUAAGAAGCCCCGGCUAACUACGUGCCAGCAGCCGCGGUAAUACGUAGAGGGCAAGCGUUAUCCGGAUUUACUGGGGGUAAAGGGAGCGUAAACGGCAGCGCAAGUCUGGAGUG